This 389-nucleotide ribosomal RNA is filed under the name Cymbella sp. RNAcentral's name for it is "partial small subunit ribosomal RNA". It matches the Rfam family "Eukaryotic small subunit ribosomal RNA", at positions 582 to 975 of the family's 1831-position model. Lineage: Eukaryota; Bacillariophyta; Bacillariophyceae; Cymbellales; Cymbellaceae. The record is from RNAcentral.
AUUCCAGCUCCAAUAGCGUAUAUUAAAGUUGUUGCAGUUAAAAAGCUCGUAGUUGGAUUUGUGGUGUACUUCGGCGGCCCGUCACUAUGUGAUGGAGCUUGCUGAAGUCGCCAUCCUUGGGUGGAUCCUGUGUGGCAUUAAGUUGUCGUGCAGGGGAUGCCCAUCGUUUACUGUGAAAAAAUUAGAGUGUUCAAAGCAGGCUUAUGCCGUUGAAUAUAUUAGCAUGGAAUAAUAAGAUAGGACCUUGGUACUAUUUUGCUGGUUUGCGUGUCGAGAUAAUGAUGAAUAGGGACAGUCGGGGGCAUUUGUAUUCAAACGACAGAGGUGAAAUUCUUGGACCGUUUGAAGACAAACUACUGCGAAAGCAUUUGCCAAGAAUGUUUUCAUCA